ACAAUAAGCAAAAUAAGGGCGUAUGGGGGAUGCCUAGGCUCUCAGAGGCGAAGAAGGACGUGAUAAGCUGCGAAAAGCUGCGGGGAUUGGCACAUACGAAUUGAUCCGCAGAUAUCCCAAUGGGGCAACCCACUAUGUUGAAGACAUAGUAUCCAAUAGGAGGCGAACCCGCUGAACUGAAACAUCUAAGUAGGCGGAGGAGAAGAAAACAAAAGUGAUUGCGUAAGUAGUGGCGAGCGAAAGCGCAUUAGCCCAAACCAGUGUUGUUACGGCAAUACUGGGGUUGUAGGACCACAAUAUUUCUUGUAAACCGAAUUAGAAUAACCUGGAAAGGUUAACCACAGAGGGUGAUAGUCCCGUAUAAGUAAGGAAUAUAAAGGAUAGUGGUAUCCUGAGUAGGGCGGGGCACGUGAAACCCUGUCUGAAUCUGGCGGGACCAUCCGCUAAGGCUAAAUACUCCUGAGAGACCGAUAGUGAACCAGUACUGUGAAGGAAAGGUGAAAAGAACCGUGAAUAACGGAGUGAAAUAGAACCUGAAACCAUACGCCUACAAGCGGUCGGAGCAGCAAAAGCUGUGACGGCGUGCCUUUUGCAUAAUGAGCCUACGAGUUAACGUUGCUGGCAAGGUUAAGCACUUCAGGUGCGGAUCCGUAGCGAAAGCGAGUCUGAAUAGGGCGCUUGAGUCAGUAAUGUUAGACGCGAAACCGUGUGAUCUACCCAUGGGCAGGAUGAAGCUGUGGUAACACAUAGUGGAGGUCCGAACCGGUUGACGUUGAAAAGUCUUCGGAUGACCUGUGGGUAGGGAAGAAAGGCCAAUCAAACUCGGAAAUAGCUCGUACUCCCCGAAAUGCAUUUAGGUGCAGCGCAGUGGUAGAGUUAUAUAGAGGUAGAGCUACUGAUUGGAUGCGGGGGCUUCACCGCCUACCAAUUCCUGACAAACUCCGAAUGCUAUAUAAUAUACACAGCAGUGAGGGCUGGGGUGCUAAGGUCCCAGUCCGAGAGGGAAAGAACCCAGACCAUCAGCUAAGGUCCCCAAAUGUAUACUAAGUUGAUCAAACGCGGUUUGAUUGCAUCGACAGCUAGGAUGUUGGCUUGGAAGCAGCCAUUCAUUUAAAGAGUGCGUAACAGCUCACUAGUCGAGCGAUCGAGCAUGGAUAAUAAUCGGGCAUAAGUAUACUACCGAAGCUAUGGAUUUGACAAAAGUCAAGUGGUAGGGGAGCAUUCUAACAUCGUAGAAGGGAUUCCGUGAGGAUUUCUGGAGAGGUUAGAAAAGAAAAUGUAGGCAUAAGUAACGAUAAGGGGUGCGAGAAACACCCCCGCCGUAAAACUAAGGUUUCCGCAGCUAUGCUAAUCAGCUGCGCCUUAGUCGGGACCUAAGGCAUCUGGAUAGUGUACCUAAAGGCUGCCAAGAAAACCUUCUAAACAUAGAUUAUAAGUACCCGUACCGUAAACCGACACAGGUAGUUGAGGAGAGUAUCCUAAGGCGCUCGAGAGAUUCAUGGCUAAGGAAUUAGGCAAAAUAGACCUUGAUCUUCGGGAGAAAGGWCGCCAGCGCAAGCUGGCCGCAGUGAAAAGGUCCAGGCGACUGUUUAUCAAAAACACAGGGCUCUGCCAAAUCGUAAGAUGAAGUAUAGGGCCUGACACCUGCCGGUGCUGGAAGGUUAAGAGGAGAUGUUAUGAGCAAUCAGAAGCAUUGAAUUGAAGCCCCAGUAAACGGCGGCCGUAACUAUAACGGUCCUAAGGUAGCGAAAUUCCUUGUCGGGUAAGUUCCGACCUGCACGAAUGGUGUAACGAUCUGGACACUGUCUCAGCCAUGAGCUCGGUGAAAUUGUAGUAUCGGUGAAGAUGCCGAUUACCCGCAGUGGGACGAAAAGACCCUGUGCACCUUUACUAUAGCUUAGUAUUGACCUUGGAUAAGUGAUGUGUAGGAUAGGUGGGAGACUGUGAAAUGGCGUCGCUAGGCGUUGUGGAGUCAUUGUUGAAAUACCACCCUUUGCUUAUCUGAGGCCUAACUCCAUAUUGUGGAGGACAUUGCUUGGUGGGUAGUUUGACUGGGGUGGUCGCCUCCAAAAGAGUAACGGAGGCUUCUAAAGGUUCCCUCAGCACGCUUGGUAACCGUGCGUAGAGUGCAAUGGCAUAAGGGAGCUUGACUGAGAGACAUACAGGUCGAUCAGGUACGAAAGUAGAGCAUAGUGAUCCGGUGGUUCCGCAUGGAAGGGCCAUCGCUCAAAGGAUAAAAGGUACGCCGGGGAUAACAGGCUGAUCUCCCCCAAGAGCUCAUAUCGACGGGGGGGUUUGGCACCUCGAUGUCGGCUCGUCACAUCCUGGGGCUGGAGAAGGUCCCAAGGGUUGGGCUGUUCGCCCAUUAAAGUGGCACGCGAGCUGGGUUCAGAACGUCGUGAGACAGUUCGGUCUCUAUCUACUGUGGGCGUUAGAAAUUUGAGUGGAUCUGACUCUAGUACGAGAGGACCGAGUUGGACCAACCGCUGGUGUAUCUGUUGUUCCGCCAGGAGCACCGCAGAGUAGCUACGUUGGGAAGGGAUAAGCGCUGAAAGCAUAUAAGCGCGAAACCCACCACAAGAUGAGAUUUCUUUUAAGGGUCGUGGAAGAUGACCACGUUGAUAGGCUAUAGAUGUAAAGGCAGUAAUGUCACAGUCAAGUAGUACUAAUAACCCGUAAGCUUAUUGUA
This 2689-nucleotide ribosomal RNA is filed under the name Flavobacterium columnare. RNAcentral describes it as "23S ribosomal RNA". The record is from RNAcentral. Lineage: Bacteria; Pseudomonadati; Bacteroidota; Flavobacteriia; Flavobacteriales; Flavobacteriaceae.